Molecule: unclassified non-coding RNA, 459 nt
Filed under: Bombus terrestris (buff-tailed bumblebee)
Lineage: Eukaryota; Metazoa; Arthropoda; Insecta; Hymenoptera; Apidae
Description: misc RNA ENSBTSG00005030131.1
Source: RNAcentral
CUUGGUGUGUGAAUUCCCGAAACAUCGGGAUAAGCGACGUCAUAUUCAUCCUGAGGAUAAUCAAGCUGCAGCGGAUGAUAAACCGAUGGACGAUUUGUAUGCACAGGCCGAUCGUAAUUCCAUGUCUGUGAAGACUCAUAAAUGGUUGUUGGUUUGUUUGCGAUGUCUGCGUACAGGUAGCUCGUCCCGUGCUCGUUCUGACCGCUAUACGUCGGUUUGCUCGGCCUUGCCGCGUUGUCGUAGAUUUGCACGUCAUCGUCCACAUAGGGAUGUUGAUUUCCCAAGUUUAACGAAAGUGCUUAGCAUUUUGCAGUAGCCCGAUCGUCGGUCGUGGUACUUUGUCGGGGAUGUCAUCGUCGUCGACGCAACAGCUCCAUAUCAAUCCUCCGGAACAGAGAUCGACCGGACGACCACCUCCGAGAACGCAACUAAUACUAAGGCCACAAUCGAAUGUCGUUC